RNAcentral lists this ribosomal RNA (380 nucleotides) under uncultured eukaryote. RNAcentral's name for it is "partial 18S ribosomal RNA". It matches the Rfam family "Eukaryotic small subunit ribosomal RNA", at positions 592 to 976 of the family's 1831-position model. The record is from RNAcentral.
CAAUAGCGUAUAUUAAAGUUGUUGCAGUUAAAAAGCUCGUAGUUGGAUUUCUGCUGAGGACGAUCGGUCCGCCCACUGGGUGAGUAUCUGGCUCGGCCUUGGCAUCUUCUUGGAGAACGUUGCUGCACUUGACUGUGUGGUGCGGUAUCCGGGACUUUUACUUUGAGGAAAUUAGAGUGUUUCAAGCAGGCGCACGCCUUGAAUACAUUAGCAUGGAAUAAUAAGAUAGGACCUUGGUUCUAUUUUGUUGGUUUCUAGAGCUGAGGUAAUGAUUAAUAGGGAUAGUUGGGGGCAUUCGUAUUUAACUGUCAGAGGUGAAAUUCUUGGAUUUGUUAAAGACGGACUACUGCGAAANCANNNGCCAAGGAUGUUUUCAUNGA